Molecule: long non-coding RNA, 442 nt
Filed under: Struthio camelus australis
Lineage: Eukaryota; Metazoa; Chordata; Aves; Struthioniformes; Struthionidae
Description: lncRNA (ENSSCUG00000015841.1)
Source: RNAcentral
UGCAGUAGCACUACUAACCACAAAUCUGGCACGAGCUUGUUGGGACAUUCAAAGUGGCAGCACUUUGGACGUUAAUAUGAUUAAACUGUGUACAAAUCAAUUAGUUUUCCUUUUGCUCCCAUGCUAGGUGGCAGAGCCUGUUCAUUGCACGCUGGUGGAUGGAGACGCCACAUCCAAGGUCACACGAAGUGUGUGAUGGCCAUGAGGCCUUGGCUUUACAGUUUGACCUCAGGGGUGCUGGCCACUUCUGCAGAGCCCCAGCACCACGGAGCACUCACCCUGCCUGAAAAGAUGUCUCAUCUCCAGUGAGCAUCAUGUUUGUGGUGUUCCUAACUGUAGACCCUCUCCUUUGGAAGAGAAGCUGAAUUCUCCAUUGAAGAGCUCAUCCUCACCUGCUGCUUUUUCCUGGCUUGUGGGAAAAUGUGGGAUUACUGGGGCCUCU